CAGGACUCGCAAGACUCCCGUAAACCACUGUGAACUUACCUACAACCCGUUGCCUCGGCGGGUGCUCCGGGCGCGUCUUCGGGCGCUCCGGGGCGCUCCAGCCCGCCGGCGGCCCCUAAACUCUGUCUCUGUAACGUUGGCAUCUCCGAGCAGACUAUAAACGAGUCA
RNAcentral lists this unclassified non-coding RNA (168 nucleotides) under soil metagenome. RNAcentral's name for it is "partial internal transcribed spacer 1". The record is from RNAcentral.